AAAACCAUCUAGAUUAAUAAUUUUUUAAAUACAGAAAUUUUUAAAAAUAAAAGCAUAAAAGUUCCCUCUUGCAUAAGGAAAGAAAGAUUCUCCAAAAAUAAUCUAUUCCGAAUGUUUUUGAGCAAGAGAGGACAAAAUUUGUUAUGGAAUUAUAAUAGUCCUUUCUAGAAGAAAUAAUCUUUUCGAAAAUCCAAAUAUCUGAUACAACUCCCAAAGAAAAGAAAAGGAAAGCCUUUCUAACGAUAGUUUUAAAAUGGAAGUUUUCUAUUAUUACCAAAAUUCUUUAUCCUAUUCUCCAAAGAAAAAUUAAACUUAUAUAACUAUAAUUCAAAAAGAUAAAAAAAGACAAUUUACUUAUUAGUAUAAAAUAAUAUAUUAUAAGAUUUUUGUAUAACCAAUUCCAAUUGAAUUUUUAAAACUAAAAGAUUUUCCCUUUGAAUGUUUAUCAAAAUCUUUUCUAUUUCAUUUAAUAGAAACUCCUGCCAUUUGUAAAAAAAGGCCGAAGAAUUUUACUUCGCAAAGGUAGCAUAAUAAUUUGGUCAUUUAAUGUGAUCUGGGAUGAAAGGAGAAACAAAAGGAAUCUUUUAAAAAAUUAAAAUUAUAAAUUAAACUUUCCUUGAAAAUCAGGAAAAACUUUUCUUAGACGAGAAGACCCCAGGAUCUAAAAUUUUAUAAUUUUUAUUGGGGCAAUAAUUUUAAUGAAAAAAUUAAUAUUUACAUUACUAUAAUAUUAAAACAAAGAUACCCUGGGGGUAACAGGGCAAUUAUCUAAAAGAGACCAAAUCUAAUAGAUAGAUUACUACCUCGAUGUUGGCUUUCUUAAAUCCUUUAGAGGUAGAAUAUUAGAGGAGUGAGUCUGUUCGACUCUUGAAAAGAACAUGAGCUGAGUUCAAGUCGACAUUAGUCAGACUGGAUUUUAUCUAGAAAUUUUUUAAAGGGAUCUAGUACGAAAGGACAAAUCUUUUUCUCUAGGAAGAAAAGACAAAUUUUGAAUUAUUAUUUUUAUAAAUUGCGUUAUGA
This 1020-nucleotide ribosomal RNA is filed under the name Leptotrombidium intermedium. Its description in RNAcentral is "large subunit rRNA". The stretch from base 637 to 926 matches the Rfam family "Archaeal large subunit ribosomal RNA", at positions 2150 to 2716 of the family's 2987-position model. The record is from RNAcentral. Lineage: Eukaryota; Metazoa; Arthropoda; Arachnida; Trombidiformes; Trombiculidae.